GAUGAACGCUGGCGGCGUGCCUAAUACAUGCAAGUCGAGCGAACAGACGAGGAGCUUGCUCCUCUGACGUUAGCGGCGGACGGGUGAGUAACACGUGGAUAACCUACCUAUAAGACUGGGAUAACUUCGGGAAACCGGAGCUAAUACCGGAUAAUAUAUUGAACCGCAUGGUUCAAUAGUGAAAGACGGUUUUGCUGUCACUUAUAGAUGGAUCCGCGCCGAAUUAGCUAGUUGGUAAGGUAACGGCUUACCAAGGCAACGAUGCGUAGCCGACCUGAGAGGGUGAUCGGCCACACUGGAACUGAGAAACGGUCCAGACUCCUACGGGAGGCAGCAGUAGGGAAUCUUCCGCAAUGGGCGAAAGCUUGACGGAGCAACGCCGCGUGAGUGAUGAAGGUCUUCGGAUCGUAAAACUCUGUUAUUAGGGAAGAACAAAUGUGUAAGUAACUAUGCACGUCUUGACGGUACCUAAUCAGAAAGCCACGGCUAACUACGUG
RNAcentral lists this ribosomal RNA (497 nucleotides) under uncultured bacterium. RNAcentral describes it as "partial 16S ribosomal RNA". It matches the Rfam family "Bacterial small subunit ribosomal RNA", at positions 28 to 507 of the family's 1533-position model. The record is from RNAcentral.